AGAAGGCAACGAAGCGGUCGGAAGGCGGGGGAUUGUUGAGCCCGAUCUCUCGUCCAGUCACCGCGCACUUUCGUACGAUCCAAGACUCGAUGGAGAUGGUGGAGCGAGGCCGACCCGGGGACGAAAACGGGGUGUGGAGAACUCCGCUUGGAUUUCUGGGACGAGGUGGACAUGGAUGUUCCAGCUUUCACAAGACGAUGGCUUCAUGGUAGUUGUUCUGUGGAUUUUUAAUGCCGUUAACGUAAAUUGCAAAUUUCUCAUGAGUCCAGUAAAGAUAACCUUGUAUAACGUGUUUCUAUGAUAAACUUAGAUGUAUUGUUGAUAGUGGGGUCUAGAGAGUUUACGGAUACAGUGACGGCGCCGGUUAAAGUACAUAUACUGUAAUUGGAUGCAGUCUGGAAAUUUAGAAUGUACAGAACGUGAAACUGAAUAAUCCUCCUCUCUUACAUGAUCGUGGGGACGCAGAGCAUAUUAUACAUGGAGGUAUUGUACAGUCAAUGCAAUUGAUGAGGACCACAACAAUGUUAAGGCGCCGAAUGAUCAAUACGAUGAUGAUUACCACGGUUAUAGGACACAGACAGGGGAGCUGUGACUUGGAUGGAUGUCAAGCGGCCGUUUAUGGUUCCAGGAACUCGACUGGGAAAUGGAACAUUAACAGGGAAAUUCUAGAUUGGCAAUAGCAGGUUUAUGUAUGUACUGCAUGUACUAUAUAUAUUUUCUAAAUUUUCAUGGGUCUGUCUAAUACACGUAGGUACAGUAAAGAACAUUAUGUUGACAAGUUUGAAACACAUUUUAAAAUACGGACCCCUUGAAAACAUUGACUUUUAGUUAGGCUUGGGGUGUAAAACUACUUGAGGGACCGAGUCCAUCUGUUAUGCCGAGACUAACAUGUCAUAACUUCAUCAAAGAUCACAACAAAUAUGUUUAUCUCUAUCGGGAGAAAACAUACCGACGGUCAGAUGGGAUGGACAGUUUCUUCAUAUAUACACAAAAUAAAAACCAUAACUUCAUCAACAAAGAUCACACCAAAUAUGUUUAUCUCUAUCGGGAGAAAACAUACCGACGGUCAGAUGGGACGGACAAUUUCUUCAUACAUUCACAAAAUAAACACCAUAACUUCAUCAACAAAGAUCACACCAAAUAUGUUUAUCUCUAUCGGGAGAAAGCACACCGACGGUCAGAUGGGACAGGCAGUUUCUUCAUACAUACACAAAAUAAACACCUUCUCCUGUCCGUACAGUUUCUUCAUACAUAGAUAUAGGCAGUUUGCUUCGUUUCUUUGGAACAUAACAUUUGGGGUUGUUUCGUCCUGCAGUUUAAACCGAUAUCCUCACUAAAAGUCUAUCAAAUCACUUCUCUAUGUAAAGGUGUUUCCAAGACUUGUUAGCUAAUGUUUUUAUACUGUAACAUUUUGAUUCAAAUAUUGAUGGGGUUCGUUUGCAAUUUGGAUUUAACUAUUGUUAUAUAUCGCCAAUGGUCAUCAAUUUAUCUAAAUAAGCUUGUUAUUGCCAAACUAGUAUUUUUCUAAUGAAGUUGUCUACAGAUAUCUAUUGUUUUUAUUUUUCAUUUAUAUUAUAUGCAUUAUUAUGUUUAAUUACAUUGUAAGGUCAGCAGUGAGUAAACACUUCCGAUAGAUUCUCAAUACUGAUCACUGAUGUCCGAAACGCCUACAAAGAUCAAAAUGUUUCAUAUGGGGUAACAUAAUACUUUAUAAGGACGUUAGGUCAACAUUCAAAAUUUUUCAUUGUCUAUACUUGGGACAUAAAACUUUAUGGAUUCUUCAUGUCAAAUUACAACUCUUUCGAAACUUUCGACCGAGCAACAGGAUUUUUUUGUUAAAAGAUGUUAUCUUUUCAUAUUUUUAUUGUUUUCGAGGGGAGGUUUUUUAUUAAGGUUUAUUUCUGUAAUUCACUUAUAUUACUCAAAUAAUUACCUUAGAAUAAUAUCUUUAAAGACUGUAGGCUUUUCUGGCAGAAUAUUUAAUGUUUUUUGGAAACAAAUAUUCACAUAUAAUGUGUAUUAUUGUGUUUGUCGUUGGUAACUGAAUACGUCAUUAGAAAUAACCAUUUCGAAAUUACAAUUUGUUCGAAUCUUUCGACAAACCAACGUGAUUUUUUUUGUUUUCAUCUAAAUAAGCUUUGUUAUUGCCAAACUAGUAUUUUUCUAAUGAAGUUGUCUACAGAUAUCUAUUGUUUUUAUUUUUCAUUUAUAUUAUAUGCAUUAUUAUGUUUAAUUACAAUGUAAGGUCAGCAGUGAGUAAACACUUCCGAUAGAUUCUCAAUACUGACCACUGAUGUCCGAAACGCCUACAAAGAUCAAAAUGUUUCAUAUGGGGUAACAUAAUACUUUAUAAGGACGUUAGGUCAACAUUCAAAAUUUUUCAUUGUCUAUACUUGGGACAUAAAACUUUAUGGAUUCUUCAUGAUGUCAAAUUACAACUCUUUCGAAACUUUCGACCGAGCAACAGGAUUUUUUUGUUAAAAGAUGUUAUCUUUUCAUAUUUUUAUUGUUUUCGAGGGGAGGUUUUUAUUAAGGUUUAUUUCUGUAAUUCUCUUAUAUUACUCAAAUAAUUACCUUAGAAUAAUAUCUUUAAAGACUGUAGGCUUUUCUGGCAGAAUAUUUAAUGUUUUUUGGAAACAAAUAUUCACAUAUAAUGUGUAUUAUUGUGUUUGUCGUUGGUAACUGAAUACGCCAUUAGAAAUAACCAUUUCGAAAUUACAAUUUGUUCGAAACUUUCGACAAACCAACAUGAUUUUUUUUUGUUUUCAUCUAAAUAAGCUUUGUUAUUGCCAAACUAGUAUUUUUCUAAUGAAGUCGUCUACAGACGUCUGCUGUUAUUAUUUUUCAUUUAUAUUAUGUUCAUGAUUAUGUUUAUUAAAAUGUAAGGUCAGCAGUGAGUAAACACUUCCGGUUGAUCAGAGCACUUGGGAAAAUCCUACCUCCCCCUUCCUAAAUGGGAGUUAGGGUUGGGUAGCCGGCUCUCAACACAGACCACUCAUGUCAUAAACGCCUACAAAGAUCAGAAUGUUUAAUUUUGGGUAACAUAAUACUUUAUAUGGACGUUAGGUCUGUAAUUCUCUUAUAUUACUCAAAUAAUUACCUUAGAAUAAUAUCUUUAAAGACUGUAGGCUUUUCUGGCAGAAUAUUUAAUGUUUUUUGGAAACAAAUAUUCACAUAUAAUGUGUAUUAUUGUGUUUGUCGUUGGUAACUGAAUACGUCAUUAGAAAUAACCAUUUCGAAAUUACAAUUUGUUCGAAUCUUUCGACAAACCAACGUGAUUUUUUUUGUUUUCAUCUAAAUAAGCUUUGUUAUUGCCAAACUAGUAUUUUUCUAAUGAAGUUGUCUACAGAUAUCUAUUGUUUUUAUUUUUCAUUUAUAUUAUAUGCAUUAUUAUGUUUAAUUACAAUGUAAGGUCAGCAGUGAGUAAACACUUCCGAUAGAUUCUCAAUACUGACCACUGAUGUCCGAAACGCCUACAAAGAUCAAAAUGUUUCAUAUGGGGUAACAUAAUACUUUAUAAGGACGUUAGGUCAACAUUCAAAAUUGUUCAUUGUCUAUACUUGGGACAUAAAACUUUAUGGAUUCUUCAUGAUGUCAAAUUACAACUCUUUCGAAACUUUCGACCGAGCAACAGGAUUUUUUUGUUAAAAGAUGUUAUCUUUUCAUAUUUUUAUUGUUUUCGAGGGGAGGUUUUUAUUAAGGUUUAUUUCUGUAAUUCUCUUAUAUUACUCAAAUAAUUACCUUAGAAUAAUAUCUUUAAAGACUGUAGGCUUUUCUGGCAGAAUAUUUAAUGUUUUUUGGAAACAAAUAUUCACAUAUAAUGUGUAUUAUUGUGUUUGUCGUUGGUAACUGAAUACGCCAUUAGAAAUAACCAUUUCGAAAUUACAAUUUGUUCGAAACUUUCGACAAACCAACAUGAUUUUUUUUUUGUUUUCAUCUAAAUAAGCUUUGUUAUUGCCAAACUAGUAUUUUUCUAAUGAAGUCGUCUACAGACGUCUGCUGUUAUUAUUUUUCAUUUAUAUUAUGUUCAUGAUUAUGUUUAUUAAAAUGUAAGGUCAGCAGUGAGUAAACACUUCCGGUUGAUCAGAGCACUUGGGAAAAUCCUACCUCCCCCUUCCUAAAUGGGAGUUAGGGUUGGGUAGCCGGCUCUCAACACAGACCACUCAUGUCAUAAACGCCUACAAAGAUCAGAAUGUUUAAUUUUGGGUAACAUAAUACUUUAUAUGGACGUUAGGUCUGUAAUUCUCUUAUAUUACUCAAAUAAUUACCUUAGAAUAAUAUCUUUAAAGACUGUAGGCUUUCCUGACAGAAUAUUUAAUGUUUUUUCGAUAUUAUUAUGUGCAUUAUUGUGUUUGUAGGAUUUUGUCAGACGCAUAAGAUGUUUUAAUUUAUAUUUGUUUUUCGCUGAUAUUACUCUUGGGACAAUAUCACCGACAUAUGAUUUUUCUUUAUUAUAAUCAUAAUGAUUAUCUUAUGUUAAAUUAAUACUCAUUAUAUAGGUUGUGUGUUUUUUUGUACUCCCAUAUUAAACAUUAUUUUGUUUUUUUUUACGCCCAUUAUUUUAUGCCUGUAGGUCUGUAAUGCUACAUGUCAAACUUCUAAAUUUUCCAUUUUUCUAAACUUGGUACAAAACUUUAUGGAUUCUUCAUGAUGUCAAAUUACAACUCUUUCGAAACUUUCGACCGAGCAACAGGAUUUUUUUGUUAAAAGAUGUUAUCUUUUCAUAUUUUUAUUGUUUUCGAGGGGAGGUUUUUAUUAAGGUUUAUUUCUGUAAUUCACUUAUAUUACUCAAAUAAUUACCUUAGAAUAAUAUCUUUAAAGACUGUAGGCUUUUCUGGCAGAAUAUUUAAUGUUUUUUGGAAACAAAUAUUCACAUAUAAUGUGUAUUAUUGUGUUUGUCGUUGGUAACUGAAUACGCCAUUAGAAAUAACCAUUUCGAAAUUACAAUUUGUUCGAAACUUUCGACAAACCAACAUGAUUUUUUUUUGUUUUCAUCUAAAUAAGCUUUGUUAUUGCCAAACUAGUAUUUUUCUAAUGAAGUCGUCUACAGACGUCUGCUGUUAUUAUUUUUCAUUUAUAUUAUGUGCAUGAUUAUGUUUAUUAAAAUGUAAGGUCAGCAGUGAGUAAACACUUCCGGUUGAUCAGAGCACUUGGGAAAAUCCUACCUCCCCCUUCCUAAAUGGGAGUUAGGGUUGGGUAGCCGGCUCUCAACACAGACCACUCAUGUCAUAAACGCCUACAAAGAUCAGAAUGUUUAAUUUUGGGUAACAUAAUACUUUAUAUGGACGUUAGGUCUGUAAUUCUCUUAUAUUACUCAAAUAAUUACCUUAGAAUAAUAUCUUUAAAGACUGUAGGCUUUCCUGACAGAAUAUUUAAUGUUUUUUCGAUAUUAUUAUGUGCAUUAUUGUGUUUGUAGGAUUUUGUCAGACGCAUAAGAUGUUUUAAUUUAUAUUUGUUUUUCGCUGAUAUUACUCUUGGGACAAUAUCAUCGACAUAUGAUUUUUCUUUAUUAUAAUCAUAAUGAUUAUCUUAUGUUAAAUAAAUACUCAUUAUAUAGGUUGUGUGUUUUUUUGUACUCCCAUAUUAAACAUUAUUUUGGGUUUUUUACGCCCAUUAUUUUAUGCCUGUAGGUCUGUAAUGCUACAUGUCAAACUUCUAAAUUUUCCAUUUUUCUAAACUUGGUACAAAUCUUUAUGGGAAUUUGAACGGGGUAAAAAAUAUUUCGAAAGUUUCUGCAUACCAAAAUGAUUUGAAGGUGGGGGGGGGGGAUCCUGACCGCCAGACCAUCAUGCAAUAGGUCAACAUUCUAAAUUUUCUAUUUUUCUAAACUUGGAACAUAAACCUUUAUGGGAAUUAGAAUGGGUCAAAAUUAUUUCGAAAUUUUCGACAUACCAACAUGUAGUAGUGGGUGCGGGGUGGAUAUGAUUUUAGGAGCAACCGCAUUUCAUAGCUUUUAAAAUAUUGUUUAAUAUGGACCAAUUGAUAAUUUAAAAGAUUAUAUUAUUGUUUGUUAAUCAAUUAAUUACUGAUAGAUGUAGUUAAAAAUCAUUUACAAAUAAAAUAUUUCACCAUC
Patella vulgata (common limpet) is the source of this 6073-nucleotide long non-coding RNA. RefSeq lists it as uncharacterized. NCBI's taxonomy places the organism in Eukaryota, Metazoa, Mollusca, Gastropoda, Patellidae. The transcript has 6 exons. The record is from RefSeq and is a predicted model, not a curated record.